Molecule: long non-coding RNA, 2231 nt
Organism: Quercus lobata
Lineage: Eukaryota; Viridiplantae; Streptophyta; Magnoliopsida; Fagales; Fagaceae
Exons: 4
Source: RefSeq, a predicted model, not a curated record
UUAUCUCCUACUCUUCCUCUUCUCUUAUAGAUUACUCUUUUUCUCUAUUUUUGAAACCCAAAUUCCGAAGGGUCUGCUAUUUCUUUCCCAGUAUAUACCCAUUUCCAUAGUAUAAUUCACAAAAUUUUCAGAAGAUGGAUGAUCAUGCUAGUGAGUAAUUAAUAGAAAUUCAAGAAUUAACAGUAUUAAAAUGGGUACCAAAAUAUAAGAUACUUCCAGCAAUAACUAAUCAAUGCAACAAUCAUAGGAAUGGUUCCCUAUGACAUACAUGGAUUUAUUCCUGGAUUACAGAUUGUGAAAUCUAAGUUUUCUCCAUUACUAAAGAUUGUCAUAACCAGUCAAUGGAAAACAAAACCUUCCCAUAUCCUUGUCAGAUUCUUUUCAGGGUUUCAGAAGUAAAUGCACUUAAUACCGAAUUGCGUACUCAUUAUUAGUUUUUGAUUUUCAGUUACAAACCCUGCAUUGUGGUGUUAUCUGAAUUUUCUAUAAUAAUCUGGAUCCAUAUAAGAAAGAAAAAAUAGUUGUUGUAUUCUUAGUUGUUGUUGCCUCAUCUACUUCAACAAUCCCCAGUAAGAUAUUUUGAAAUCAAAAAGAGUAAACAAGAGUGGAUGACUUUCCACUAUAGUUGCAGAACCUUUAUUUAUUUGAUGAAAUAUCUAUAAACAGUUCCAAGAAACUGAGAUAUCUACCAGCAAGGGUGUGGUGCCCCAACAGAUGCUGCCAUGCUGGUAAUCCUUCAUUUCCCAACUAGAGGUUAUGUACUUCAGCAUUGAUAGGUCAAGAUUGCCCAUGUUCCAAGUAUAUAGAUAAACUUUUCAUUCCUAUGCUAAGCUCAGAGAAUCUAAAAUUGGUAUUUUUGCUCAAAUGUCCUUAUGUUUAAAUAUCACUUUGAAUGGACUAGCUUAUGCACUUAAUUUUUAUUUCCAUAAUUCUUGUUCAAAAUUGUGUGCUCAUAUACUGUAGCAUAUUUUUCUGCAUAGCAUACUUAGAUCUUCGAAUUUUCCAUCCAACAACAAAAAUCAAGUACUUUGGUUGAACAUUCAAUUCUAAACUUCUUGAGAUUAUUUGUGUGUGUGUAUUCUGGUCUACCAACAAUGCAUUGAUUAGGGCUCUUUAGUUACUACUACAUUGUCCUCACUGUUAAGUUUUCACUAACCAAUUUUGGAUUAAUUAGGGCUCUUUCAUUAGUCAUAUUUAAGCUUCUCCAAAGUUUAUUAAUGUUAUGAAUUCAUCUGAAGUUAGUUUUAAAAAUGAGAAAUACUCGGUGGCAAAUUAUUUAUUCUAUUUUAAAUAGAUUUGUAGAUGACCUUAAAGUCCGGUUUGCUGUACAGUGUGCACUAGAAGGAAGUAUAACUUGAGAUUCAAAUCAAAUUAAACGAGACGGUUAACAACUUUUUUCUUUUGAGAUCAAAUUAUAAUGUUGGGUCAGCUGGAACCAUAACUUGAAUGCACCUGCAAGUGUCAAUUGGGUAUAUUUGGUGUCACUUCAACCAUGCAUCAAGAUUCCUGACAAUUCGUCCGCUGUUCAAAUCCUAUGUUAUGGUUUCCUAACUUAAAGUCUUUAUAGCAGUGACUUUAGCAGUUUUCUAGAUUAUGAGACGUCUGCAAGAAAUUGAAGAGCCCAAUUAAGAAAAGCAACUUGAAACUCAAAUUUGAUGCAUGUUUUUUCUCCGUGAUCAAGUUAUGCUCUAAGAUAUACAUUUGGUGACUUUCCAUAUUGCACACUCAAUUGAUUGUUAAAAUCAUUUCACAGAUAAUCACGGCUACAAAUCUCUGCAAAGAGCACGUAAUAGUAAGCUUCAAUUAAUGGAUUUUCAAAUUUCUCUGACAGUCUUCACUUAUUGUCAGUCUUGUUGUCUUAACUAAGAGGCCAACCUGUUUGAGUGCACCACUUCAUACCACCGUAUGGAGGGUAAUAGCCUACAGAUUGCAGAUAAGGCAAUGGACAUAAGUCUCUAUAAGCCGAAUUUUGUUUGUAAUUUUUUGAUGAAUACAGUAUGUGUAUUACUUAGAAAUAUUACUGAAAACUUCUAUCAAUGAAAUUGUCUAUGACUAAAAAUCUAAAUUAUCAUAGCUGGGCUUUUAUCCAAUUUGAAUUGUAUUCCCUACAAUUAAAGCCUCAUUGUCAGUGAUAAGUUGAAAUAAGAUAAGUAGUUUUCUUGCCAUAGGAUAAUGAUUAUUUUGUGAGAAUUUGCUAACUGAUUUGAAAAAAUUGAGGGAGGCAUCACAAA